RNAcentral lists this ribosomal RNA (972 nucleotides) under uncultured organism. RNAcentral's name for it is "bacterial SSU rRNA". It matches the Rfam family "Bacterial small subunit ribosomal RNA", at positions 465 to 1434 of the family's 1533-position model. The record is from RNAcentral.
GGGGUUGACGGUACCCUACUAGAAAGGGGCCGCUAACUUCGUGCCAGAAGCGUCGGUAAUACGGGGGCUCCAAGCGUUAUCCGGUGUUAUUGGGCGUAAAGAGUCGUGUAGGUGGUUGGGUAAGUUAUCUUUCAAAUAUCUUUGCUUAACAAAGAGGAGGGGGAUAAUACUGCUCGACUAGAAUUUUCUCAAGGGAGAUCGGAACUGAGGGAGGAGUAGUGAAAUGCGUUGAUACCCUCGGGAACACCAGUGGCGUAGGCGGAUCUCUGGGAGAAGAUUGACACUGAGACACGAAAGCUAGGGGAGCGAAGCAGAUUAGAGACCUGCGUAGUCCUAGCCGUAAACGCAUGCUUGCUAGCUGCAUGAAUCUACCUUCGGGUGGUAUCGUGUGGCGAAGGUAACCCGUUAAGCAAGCCGCCUGGAAAGUACGGCCGCAAGGCUGAAAUUCAAAGGAAUUGGCGGGGAGGCACACAACCAGUGGAACAUGUGGUUUAAUUCGAGACUAACCGAAGAACCUCACCAGGGUUUGACAUGUAGCUGCACGUCUUAAGAAAUUAAGACUCUCUUGAAGGUGCUACACAGGUGCUGCAUGGCUGUCGUCAGCUCGUUCCGUGAGGAGUGCCCUUAAGUGGGACAACGAGCGCAACCCCUAUUACAUGUUAGAAAUGUCAUGUAAGACUGCCUUGCCAUUUGGCGGGGAGGAAGGAGGGGCAGACGUCAAGUCCGCAUGGUCCUUAUGCCCUGGGCUACACACAUGUUACAAUGAGUACAGCAAUGAGUCUGUCGCGAGCACGUAAGUGUAAGCUAAUCUCUUAAAUGUACUCUCAGUGGGGAUUGAGGUCUGCAACUCGACCUCAUGAACACGGAAUUGGUAGUAAUCGCGGGUCAGCUAUACCGCGGUGAAUACGUUCUUGCCUCUUGCACACACCGCCCGUCAAACCAGCAAAGUCGAUUGUAUCCGAACCUCUCUUU